Molecule: long non-coding RNA, 1078 nt
Filed under: Androctonus crassicauda
Lineage: Eukaryota; Metazoa; Arthropoda; Arachnida; Scorpiones; Buthidae
Source: RNAcentral
CACUAAUACUAGCUCUAACGUUCAUAAAAGACAAAGGUGUUAUCCAGAUUUAGUACCGAUAUCAAGUAGUAUAUCAGUUAUCAAUUUGAUUUUGUAAGUUGGCUAGAUGAAGAGAAUGGAAGAAUUUCAAGAAGCUUUCAUGAUUCAAAAUGUGGCUAAAUUUGCUCCUAGAUCAAAAGAUUCAAUUGUAUAAUACAUUUUCAUGAUGUGUAAAUAAAAAUAAAAAGGCAUUAUGCCACAUGAGUGUAGAGAAAGCCUUCUUAUAUAUCAGUUAUUAUUCCUUACUGAUGAGAUGACCACAUCUGGUAUAAAAGAUCAGCUGUUGAACUAAUUCUUUAGGAGAAGUAUGUCCUAAAAGUCACACACUAUAGUGAAGAAUAGGAUAAGAAGAAUGAGUUUAGGAACACUAUCAACUACGAUAAGAUGCAUGCUACUCAUACAGAUUUAUGGUGUUUGUCUAUAAGAUGACAAUGAAAGGUACAGAGCAUUCUAAAUUUUAAGUUUUUCUCAGGAUGCACAGUUAGCCCACAAGAAGAACAGGAUAUGACUUUUGUGUAAAUACUUUAUGAAGGUGGAACUUUGAAAAUGAUUAAGAAAUUAGUGACGAAAAACAAUAUUAAACUUGUCUGUGAGAGAUACCUAACAAUCUUUACCGCAUUGCAAAAUAACAAAGAAUAUGAGAGGCUCUUGAAAAUAGGUACACAUAUGCUAUCCUUUCUGACAAUGAAAUUUUAAAUGGGGAAGAAGAAUAUAUUGACAUCAUGAAAUGCAACCUUGAUGAAUCUGUGGACAUACGGAAGACAUUGCUUAUGCAGAACAAAUCUGGCUUUAGGGAAGCAGUAUCUAGAGUAUGAUUUACAGAUUCAUUGGAAAGAGGCAAAAGUUAUUAAUUGUAAUAAAAUCACUGGUGCCUACCAAUCUUUAUUAUCUCAAAAAUUUCUGAAGGAAACUUUUGAGAUAAUGAAGAUUGGUAGACAUAGAAAUGUAAUGAAUGUAUGUAUCUUGCAUAUAAUGAACUAUAGCAAAAUGUGUUUUGGUGUGUAAGAGUGAGUAUUCCUGGACUAUUAUAUUAUUAAUG